CGAUGAAGCUUCUCGCUUGCGGGGGGUGGAUUAGUGGCGAACGGGUGAGUAAUACGUGAGUAACCUGCCCCUGUCUUUGGGAUAAGCCUUGGAAACGGGGUCUAAUACUGGAUAUUCUGCUGUUCUCGCAUGGGGAUGGUUGGAAAGAUUUUUUGGAUGGGGAUGGGCUCACGGCCUAUCAGCUUGUUGGUGGGGUGAUGGCCUACCAAGGCUUCGACGGGUAGCCGGCCUGAGAGGGUGACCGGCCACAUUGGGACUGAGAUACNGCCCANACUCCUACGGGAGGCAGCAGUGGGGAAUAUUGCACAAUGGACGCAAGUCUGAUGCANCGACNCCGCGUGGGGGAUGAAGGCUUUCGGGUUGUAAACUCCUUUUAGCACUGAACAAGGCUUUUUUGGGUUGAGGGUAGGUGUUGAAUAAGCGCCGGCUAACUACGUGCCAGCAGCCGCGGUAAUACGUAGGGCGCGAGCGUUGUCCGGAAUUAUUGGGCGUAAAGAGCUCGUAGGCGGUUUGUUGCGUCUGCUGUGAAAGACCGGGGCUUAACUCCGGGGCUGCAGUGGGUACGGNCAGACUAGAGUGCGGUAGGGGUAACUGGAAUUCCUGGUGUAGCGGUGGAAUGCNCANAUAUCAGGAGGAACACCGAUGGCGAAGGCAGGUUACUGGGCUGUUACUGACGCUGAGGAGCGAAAGCAUGGGGAGCGAACAGGAUUAGAUACCCUGGUAGUCCAUGCCNUAAACGUUGGGCACUANGUGUGGGGCCUUAUCCACAGGUUCUGUGCCGUANCUAACGCAUUAAGUGCCCCGCCUGGGGAGUACGGCCGCAAGGUUAAAACUCAAAGGAAUUGACGGGNGCCCGCACAAGCGGCGGAGCAUGCGGAUUAAUUCGAUGCAACNCGAANAACCUUACCAAGGCUUGACAUGCACUGCGAUGUUCUAGAGAUAGGGCAG
RNAcentral lists this ribosomal RNA (948 nucleotides) under Arcanobacterium pluranimalium. Its description in RNAcentral is "bacterial SSU rRNA". It matches the Rfam family "Bacterial small subunit ribosomal RNA", at positions 67 to 1014 of the family's 1533-position model. The record is from RNAcentral. Lineage: Bacteria; Bacillati; Actinomycetota; Actinomycetes; Actinomycetales; Actinomycetaceae.